GAAGAAACUCGACUCCAGGCAUAGGAGAUAAGACUGAAGAAAAGGACAGGAGGGAAGCAAGUAGACUUUAAAACUAGGCAUCUGUGACUAAACUAUUUCUGAAGACAGCACCUAUUAUUACUCUUUGAAGAAAUCGCUUGACAUAACUAAGCCAGCAAUAGCACUGAAAAACCAUCCUCAAUUUUCCUCGCUUAAAAUAGAUUGACAGCCAUUUUACCGAGACUGAGGAACAGGAGAGCUGAGCCGAAGCCUGGGGGGCUGCCGCGUCAGACGCGGCUCCGCGAGGAAACCCGUUAUGCCCGACGACGGUAGAGCUGCCCAGUGCUGCUUGGUGGUUUUUUCUGUUCAUACCCAUUACCGAUGAAUUAAUAUCAAAGGAGGUGACCCUCUCCCCUCGCCCCCGCCUCCGCCGUCCCGAUGCCACGGAUAGCCUUGCCGUCCCAGAUCUCCGCGGUGGAGGAGGAAAGCCUAUACUUUGCACGUCCUCUCAGAACAGGAAAUGAGACUGUGAAGACUUUAUUACAACUUCGGGCAGCAGAUGAGUUUCAGAGAAAAUAUCCUUAUAAACACAAAUCAGAGACCUCUGUCAGACUUGACCCAUGGUUUCUGAGUGCAAAUGAGGAUUCCCGAUUACGGGGAGAACUGCGAGGAAACUUCAAGAUGACAUCUUUAUUCUCACAUCUCCAAGAACAUGCAGAAAGAAGUUACUGCUCUUAUACUGAGGGUUCAAGUUAUCUAAAGGUUUGACCAGUACGUCAUCAACUGCCAUAGUCGCAGCAACCCUCAUAGAGCCACGGACAGAGGACCACAGUAUCCCAUUAGAGAAUAAAGAUAUGCCAUUUAGUCUAUCCAUUUUAUAAUACACAGCCUUUUAAAUACAGUUUUCUGGAUUACAUGUAUAUAAAAGAUGGGUUAGCAAAGUGCUGUUAAAUACAUGCAUUUAAAGACUUCAAUUAAAAGAUAACAAUGCAUUUUUCUCAGCAUAUUAUUUCUUUUAAGAAGCCUCUAGAAUACUCAAUAGGUUCCCUGAAACAGAAAAAAAACAAAAACAAAAACAAACAAACAAAAAAACGCAACCCUGGAUAUUAUAAUGCAUUGUGAAUAUCCUUUUCAACCCACUACCAAAAGCUACUAUGAAUGUAAAUUUCUGUUUAGCCUAAAUGCAUACCAAGUUCUAUAUUGAUGGAAUCCAAAUGAAUGAGAUUUUAUUAUAGAUGAAAUAUAAAUACUGGAUUAUCUGACACCACACACACAAAAUCAACUCAAAAUAGAUUGAAAUGUAAGAGCCAAGACUGUAAAACUCCUAGAAGAAAACACCGAGGAAAGGCUUCUUGACAUUGGUCUCAGCAAUGAUGUCAUGGAUAUGACACCAAAAGCACAGGCAACAAAAAGAAAAAUAAACAAGUGGGACUGCAUCAGACUAAUACACUUCUGCACAGCAAAGAAAUCAAUCAACAGAGUAAAAAGGCAACUUAUAGAAUGGGAGAAAAUAUUUGCAAACCAUAUGCCUGAUAAGAGGUUAAUCUCCAAAAUAUAUAAGCAACUCCUACAACUGAAUAGUUAAAAAAAAAAACCUAAUAACCCAAUUACAAAAUGGACUAAGAACUUGAAUAGACAUUUCUCCAAAGACAGCAUAUAAAUGACCAAUGAAAAAAAAAUGCUCAAUGUCACUAACCAUCAGGGAAAUGCAAAUCAAAACCAUGAGUUAUCACCUCAUACCUGUCAGGAUGGCU
This 1733-nucleotide long non-coding RNA is filed under the name Homo sapiens (human). RNAcentral's name for it is "HSALNT0358560". Lineage: Eukaryota; Metazoa; Chordata; Mammalia; Primates; Hominidae. The record is from RNAcentral.